AAAGAGUUGGCAGAUUACGGAUGGAGGGCAGUAUCUCCCAACAGCCUGGGCGGCCGCUGAGACCCAGAGAACCCAAGGACUCCCCUGGGCUCAUCCAGCAGCCUCUGCUUCCCAGGAGAGAGGUGCUGAAGUCCACAAAGAGAGUCUUGCUCUGUCACCCAGGCUGGAGUGCAGUGGUGUGAUCUUGGCUCAUUGUAACCUCCACCUCCCGGGUUCAAGUGAUUCUCAUGCCUCAGCCUCCCAAGUAGCUGGGAUUACAGGUGGUAACUUCCAAGAGUGACUCCGUGGGAGGAAAAUGACUGCCCAGUCGCUGCUGCAGAUGACGCUGUUCCUGCUGAGUCUGCUCUUCCUGGUCCAAGCCAGCGGAACCAGACACACAAGAGCAGCCUCCACUACAAAGCCACGCAAGACCUGCGCAUCUCCAUCGAGAACUCCGAGGAGGCCCUCACAGUCCAUGCCCCCUUCCCUGCGGCCCACCCUGCUUCUCGAUCCUUCCCUGACCCCAGGGGCCUCUACCACUUCUGCCUCUACUGGAACCGACAUGCUGG
Molecule: small RNA, 548 nt
Filed under: Pongo abelii (Sumatran orangutan)
Lineage: Eukaryota; Metazoa; Chordata; Mammalia; Primates; Hominidae
Description: processed transcript
Source: RNAcentral